RNAcentral lists this transfer RNA (70 nucleotides) under Psychrobacter sp. RNAcentral's name for it is "tRNA-Val". It matches the Rfam family "tRNA". Rfam says of the family: Transfer RNA (tRNA) molecules are approximately 80 nucleotides in length. Their secondary structure includes four short double-helical elements and three loops (D, anti-codon, and T loops). The record is from RNAcentral. Lineage: Bacteria; Pseudomonadati; Pseudomonadota; Gammaproteobacteria; Moraxellales; Moraxellaceae.
UAGCUCAGUUGGUUAGAGCGCUACCUUGACAUGGUAGAGGUCGCUAGUUCGAAUCUAGUUACGCCUACCA